GUGGCAAUGAUGAGUCGCGCAGGGGUACGGACCUCGGCUGUAUCAUGGGAGCCGAAUGCGGAUUGUGACGUUUCUAAGAUUUGUUAACGUGUAGUUGGCUGCUUGGAAACUGGUCUGCAUGAGACUGUCGCCCGACUGAGCCAC
Small nucleolar RNA from Rana temporaria (common frog), 144 nucleotides. RefSeq annotates it as small nucleolar RNA SNORD94. Lineage: Eukaryota; Metazoa; Chordata; Amphibia; Anura; Ranidae. The transcript has a single exon. The record is from RefSeq and is a predicted model, not a curated record.